RNAcentral lists this transfer RNA (72 nucleotides) under Camelus bactrianus (Bactrian camel). It matches the Rfam family "tRNA". From Rfam's summary of the family: Transfer RNA (tRNA) molecules are approximately 80 nucleotides in length. Their secondary structure includes four short double-helical elements and three loops (D, anti-codon, and T loops). Lineage: Eukaryota; Metazoa; Chordata; Mammalia; Artiodactyla; Camelidae. The record is from Rfam by way of RNAcentral. RNAcentral also lists the same sequence under 2 other names.
GAGGGUAUAGCUCAGAGGUAGAGUGCCUGCUUGCCAUGCACAAGGUCCUGGGUUCAAUCCACAGUUCCUCCA